GCAUAACCCUAAUAUCACCCUGAAUGUGCCCGGUCUUAUCUGAUCUUGGAAGCUAAGUAGGGUUGGGGCCUGAUAGUACUUGGAUGGGAGACCGCCUGGGAAUACUGGGUGCUGUAGGCU
Non-coding RNA from Papio anubis (olive baboon), 120 nucleotides. Lineage: Eukaryota; Metazoa; Chordata; Mammalia; Primates; Cercopithecidae. The record is from Rfam.